GCCUUCUCUCUGUGUGUCCUUGUGUUUCCCUGGGAACCAAGAAUUCUGUCUCUUCCAUUUAGAUUCCAGAGAGAAGACAUGGUUUUGGGAGGAAGACCACAGAGGUAAAGUGCCAUUUUCAUCACCUCAAAGGCGCAUUGUAUCCGUGUGACCGACCGCUGUGGUGGUGUCCUUGAUCACCUGACUGAGGUGGUGACUGUCAGCUUCCCCACAGUUUCCGCCUCUCUCCUGAAGUUCUCCCAUCUCUCCCCAGCAUACCCCGGUUUUCUGU
Physeter macrocephalus (sperm whale) is the source of this 271-nucleotide long non-coding RNA. RefSeq lists it as uncharacterized. NCBI's taxonomy places the organism in Eukaryota, Metazoa, Chordata, Mammalia, Artiodactyla, Physeteridae. The transcript has 3 exons. The record is from RefSeq and is a predicted model, not a curated record.